Molecule: small nuclear RNA, 114 nt
Organism: Neoarius graeffei (lesser salmon catfish)
Lineage: Eukaryota; Metazoa; Chordata; Actinopteri; Siluriformes; Ariidae
Product: U5 spliceosomal RNA
Exons: 1
Source: RefSeq, a predicted model, not a curated record
AGCUCAGGUUUCUUUUUAUUAACGCAUAAGUCUUUUGCCUUUUACUAAAGAUUUCUGUGGAAAUAAACGUUAAUGAGUUCGGCAUAUUUUUGUAGGUUUUGCUCUGGCAGAGCU